Molecule: ribosomal RNA, 429 nt
Filed under: Gemmatimonadota bacterium
Lineage: Bacteria; Pseudomonadati; Gemmatimonadota
Description: Gemmatimonadetes bacterium partial 16S ribosomal RNA
Rfam family: Bacterial small subunit ribosomal RNA
Source: RNAcentral
UAGGGAAUCUUCGGCAAUGGACGAAAGUCUGACCGAGCAACGCCGCGUGAGUGAAGAAGGUUUUCGGAUCGUAAAACUCUGUUGUUAGAGAAGAACAAGGACGUUAGUAACUGAACGUCCCCUGACGGUAUCUAACCAGAAAGCCACGGCUAACUACGUGCCAGCAGCCGCGGUAAUACGUAGGUGGCAAGCGUUGUCCGGAUUUAUUGGGCGUAAAGCGAGCGCAGGCGGUUUCUUAAGUCUGAUGUGAAAGUCCCCGGCUCAACCGGGGAGGGUCAGUGGAAACUGGGAGACUUGAGUGCAGAAGAGGAGAGUGGAAUUCCAUGUGUAGCGGUGAAAUGCGUAGAUAUAUGGAGGAACACCAGUGGCGAAGGCGGCUCUCUGGUCUGUAACUGACGCUGAGGCUCGAAAGCGUGGGGAGCAAACAGG